This 459-nucleotide ribosomal RNA is filed under the name uncultured bacterium. RNAcentral describes it as "partial 16S ribosomal RNA". It matches the Rfam family "Bacterial small subunit ribosomal RNA", at positions 338 to 795 of the family's 1533-position model. The record is from RNAcentral.
CCUACGGGUGGCAGCAGUGAGGAAUAUUGGUCAAUGGCCGGAAGUCUGAUCCAGCCAUGCCGCGUGAAGGUCAGUGCCCUAUGGGCGUUAAACUUCUUUUGUGCGGGAGCAAUAAUGGUCACGUGUGGCCAGACGAGAGUACCGUACGAAUAAGCAUCGGCUAACUCCGUGCAAGCAGCCGCGGUAAUACGGGGGAUGCAAGCGUUAUCCGGGUUAAUUGGGUUUAAAGGGGUCGUAGGCGGGGGGGUACGUCAGCGGGGAAAGGCCCCGGCUCAACGGGGUGAAUUGCCAUGAUACUGCCUUGCUGGAAUGCGGAUGCGGUGGGAGGAAUGUGUGGUGUAGCGGUGAAAUGCAUAGAGAUCACACAGAACACCGAUUGCGAAGGCAUCUCACGAAUCCGCGAUUGACGCUGAUGCACGAAAGCGUGGGUAUCAAACAGGAUUAGAUACCCGGGUAGUC